Long non-coding RNA from Mercenaria mercenaria, 885 nucleotides. RefSeq lists it as uncharacterized. The record is from RefSeq and is a predicted model, not a curated record. The transcript has 4 exons. Lineage: Eukaryota; Metazoa; Mollusca; Bivalvia; Venerida; Veneridae.
CCUGAAGCGAUUACUUUACUAAAUACACAAAUUAUUAAUACUUAUCACAAAAAGACCUAACUUCAUUUCCAGUGCAUAAAUCAGCCAGUGCGUUUCCCACACAUUUUUACUUGAGUCUGAAAAUUAUUUAAUAUUACAUGGUCAAUUAUUUUUUCUGCGAAAUACGUAUUUUUCAAAUUUGUUAUUUGCAGUCUGCAAUGUAUAUUUGUUUGAGUUUUUUUGCCGUUUUCAACCGUAUUUCAUAUAUGUAGAACUUCACAUAUAAGUUAAUCUCAUUUUUAAACUUUCCUAGUCAAGUUUCUGUUUGAAAAAAAAAUCUAAAAAUGAAAAAUUACAGAAGAGACUAUCGAAUUCUUUUUUCCCGGCCCGCCACUUUGUAGACAUUUAAUUGAUUAUUCUGCAUGGCUGCAUUUGUUCAAAUAGGAAAUUUUGCGCCAAUGUCUGUUUUCCGUUUAUUUUUUAAAAGGUUGCGCGUUUUUUUUUUACUUUUUUUCUUUCUUUCAGGAACGUCUGGAUUCAGAAACAGAAAGUAACUUGGUAGAUAUGUACUCAUUUAAAGCAAGUGAAGUGAAACCCUUGAAAAGUACGAACAACUAAACCAAGAACUAGGAUACACAUCAUGGGAUAUUGACGUCAAUGGAAACAAAAUGUGUGUACUAGUUGAUCGCAGGAAUAUUAAUGAAAAAAUUUAAAGACAUUCAGUGAUGGGGAUGAAGUGGAGGCCUUAUCGAUAAAUAAAGAGUCCGCAGUUCAGGAAAUGGUACAGCGCUGAGAGUAUUUUGGAAGUUAAGAAAGGCUGGUGAAAUGUAUAAAGUGAGAUUUCAUGAAGAUGGGUCCUAGUAAGUCCGGAAUAUGGCUCGUAUUUGAAGAAAAAUUGUGAUUGAG